GGUUAUUCCACAAGUAAUUUGUAGUAGAUAUGGUCUUUCUGUAGGUGCCAACCUUGCAUGGCUUGUGUGAAUUUUGAUGAUAAUCUGUUAUCCAGUUGCCUAUCCUGUUGGAAAGGUUCUGGACUACCUGUUAGGGCACAAUGAGGCUUUAUUUAGGCGUGCUCAAUUAAAAGCUCUUGUAUCCAUUCACAACCAGGAGGCUGGGAAAGGUGGUGAGCUUACACAUGAUGAGACUACAAUUAUGUGGAG
Molecule: non-coding RNA, 249 nt
Organism: Arachis ipaensis
Lineage: Eukaryota; Viridiplantae; Streptophyta; Magnoliopsida; Fabales; Fabaceae
Source: RefSeq, a predicted model, not a curated record